CAGGGUAUGGCUGAGUUAGUAAAGCACCUCACUUACACCGAGAAGACAUCCAUGCAAAUUGGGUUACCCUGA
Molecule: transfer RNA, 72 nt
Filed under: Psilorhynchus homaloptera (torrent stone carp)
Lineage: Eukaryota; Metazoa; Chordata; Actinopteri; Cypriniformes; Psilorhynchidae
Description: tRNA-Val
Rfam family: tRNA
About the family: Transfer RNA (tRNA) molecules are approximately 80 nucleotides in length. Their secondary structure includes four short double-helical elements and three loops (D, anti-codon, and T loops).
Source: RNAcentral